Molecule: long non-coding RNA, 1831 nt
Organism: Homo sapiens (human)
Lineage: Eukaryota; Metazoa; Chordata; Mammalia; Primates; Hominidae
Source: Ensembl
UGAUAGGCAAAAAUGGGAAAAUAACUUGAGGCCAGGAGUAUAAGAGCAGCCUGGGCAAAAUAGUGAGACACCGUCUUUACAAAAACUUUAAGUGUCAGACAGGCAACUUGGUGGGCAUUUUUUUUUUGAGACGGAGUCACUCUGUCACCUAGGCUGGAUUGCAAUGGUGCAAUCUUUUCUUACUGCAACCUUCGCCUCCCGAGUUCAAGUGAUUCUCCUGCCUCAGCCUCCUGAGUACCUGGGAUUACAGGUGCACACCACCACGCUUGGCUAAUUUUUGUAUUUUUAGUAGAGACGGGAUUUCACCAUGUUGGUCAGGCUGGUCUCGAACUCCUGACCUCGUGAUCGACCUUCCUUGGCCUCCCAAAGUGCUGGGAUUACAGGCAUGAGCCACUGCACCCAGCCUUGGCGGGCAUCUUUCACCAAAGCUACUCAGGAAGCCAAGGUGUGAGGACCCCUGCAGCACAGGAGUUCAAGGCUUCAGUGAGCUAUGGGUGCACCACUACACAUCAGCCUGGGUGAGAGAGUGAGACCAUGUCUCAGAAAGGAAGAAAAAUUAUCCACUUGUAGGUUGUCUCUAAUUACUUCCCUGACCCGCACUCUUCAUUUGUCCAAGUGCUGCAGCUGUGCUCUCAACAAUUUUUACAACUUCUGGGAAAGAUGCCCAUGGCCCUUGACGAUAGUGAUGCAUGUGCAUCCCACACACAGGGGUUUCCUGUUCUUUUGUUAUUUCCCUCUCUCUUUCAACAAGUGUUGCUUCUUACGGAUUGAAUUUCUCCACUGAUAGAUCCUCAAGUCUUGUUUUCACAGAUAUUAAUUUCUCUAUCACUAAGAUCACCCAUUAGUAAGAAUUACUAAUAAAGAUAAAAAAUAAAAAGUAAAGAAAGUACAGAAAAAAAGAAUUUUAAAUAAUCUUCCUAGUACCUGGGAAACAGUUAGGCAGAGUUCAGGUAUGGAUCUAAGAUGGCACUGUCAGUAAGAGGCAGAAUCAGGACUGGAGUCCAGGCAGCCUGGCUCCUGAAUCCUAGCUCCUAACUAUGAGACCCUCAUGUCUUUAGGAAUAUGGAGUUCUGACUGUGAUAGGGUGAAAGAGGGAAGUCCUCACAGUUUGCCUGUUGAUCUCUAAUUUUCUACAUCAUGGUAAUCUGUCACAAAAGGGGAGGCCACACCUGGCCCAGCCCCUUUCACCCACUCUCAAUCCCCUAGCAGGUGCCACACAGAAGGCGUGUCCUCGUCCAUUGGUUCUUGCAUGACAAUCAGAGGGACACGGAUCCUCCCUUUCAUCAAUGACCCAGAGCUGCGGGUGGAAUUCUACACUGGGAUGAAUGAGAACUCAGACAUCGCCUUCCAUUUCUGAGUGCACUUUGGCCAUUGUUUGGUCAUUGACAGCCAUGUGUGUGGGGCCUGGAAGUGUGAGGGGAGAUGCCACAAUGUGUUCUUCAAGGACGGCAAACAAUUUGAUCUGAGCAUCUUGGUGCUAGACAAUGAAUACCAGAGCACCCUCUGGUUGCACCGCUAUCCUCAGCUCGUUUCCAAAAUCUGACCGUGAUCAGUAUCAGCUCAUCUGGCAUUUCCCCCAAGGUAAUAAUAAAUGGCCAACACCAUACAUCUUUGCCCAUCCACUUCCACCAUGUUCUAUGAAGAUUUUGCAAGUGUGGGAAGAUGUCUCCCUGACCUCAAUGUCUGUCUGCAAUUUAUGGAGAUGACCACACCCCUCAUUGUUGAGGAAUCCCUCUUUCCAUGUGACCAUAGGAUCCCCAGAGCCUGCUAACAGCAUGAUCUCUCCUCACCCUUUUCCCUACACUUGGUCAUUAAAACAUCACCAAACUUC